Molecule: long non-coding RNA, 7525 nt
Organism: Lates calcarifer (barramundi perch)
Lineage: Eukaryota; Metazoa; Chordata; Actinopteri; Centropomidae
Exons: 3
Source: RefSeq, a predicted model, not a curated record
UGGAGAACAAACAUGCUCAUGGAAAGCAUCUUUGGCUUCUUCUGCACCAUGUGUGUGUGUUUGUGUAUCUGCGAGACUUGUUGUUUGUUCUAACCUGGUGACGUGACAAAGCUGUGACUGAAAUUUACGACGGGAAGAAAACAAUAAUAUUAAAUGUUAUUUCAGCAAACAUUUAAAUGAGAUAUGUGAGAAGCCUCCCGAACAAAAAAGGGGCGAAAAGAGAGAAAACAGGAAACUGCAAAAACGGCACAGCCAGUAAAACUAACUUCCCAUGCCAUUUGCUCAUCGUCACCUCAGUGUGUGAGUACGGUCACGCCUGCUUGUUGCCUCUGAGAAGGGUCGAGACUCCCCCGCAGGGGGGGGUGUGGUGGGGAUGGAGGGCCAUCCUCCGCUGAUUUUCAUUUCCACGCUCACCAAACAGAGUCUGGGGGAAGAGACAGGCUGCUGUGCCGGUGCCCGCCUGGUGACCAGAUGAAGGCUCUGGGGUUCAGCAUCCCCUCGUAGCUCUGCAUAUGCAAGCGCGACAGGACAGGCGUGAGGCUGGCCCCUGCCUGUGGCCUGUCUUGAAGACGGAUGAGGCAGCGGUGCCGGGUCUGGGGGCCCCCGGGCUCCCUGCGGGGACCUCACUAUUGGGCUGGUAGAUUAGGUCUGGAUCACAGUUGACAUGCCACAGCAAAAAGCAAUGGCUGAGAGAGAGGGUAGAGUAUUUUUCUCUAGUUCAAAAAUGGAGCAGCCGACGUGACGAAGUGUUUGAGAUAAAGGAUAUGCAGUACAUACAGUAUCUAUGGCUGAAACAGUCAAAUAAUUGGUUAUUCAAAUCACAGAAAAUUAACAUCUCAAAGCCUCAAAGUGAACAACGACUCAUCCCAGCUUUUUAAAUAUGAGGAUUUGCCACUCCUCUCUGCUCUAAAUCAUCAGUCAUAAACUCAAUAUCCUCGGGUACUGGACUGUUGGUUGGGCAAAACAAGCCAUUUGAAGGUGUCACCUUGGCCUCCAUGAAAUGAGCUGUACACCUAUACACAUCAAUAUUGAUCAUGAAAAACCCAUGUACAGCUUUAGGCUUUUUAUUUGUAUUGUUUAGGCCAUUAGAGUAUAAUAAUAACAGAUCGUCUUUCCAGCUGUUUAAUAUUAUCACUGGAGAGACCAUAUUAGCAGCCACUCAAGCGACAGCAGCCCAUUUCCCCCACGCUCACCUCACCGCCCCCACCUAUUACUGCUUCCUUGAAGAUAUACAGCCAGCCAUAUACAUGCCAAUGAAUCACAGUCCUGCUCUGCACACGACACAUUGCCCUUGGAUAGGUGUUACUUCUCAAGCUCAAGGUCUAACAACGGGGUAAUUAUCGCUGAGAUAGAGGGGGGAUGUUGGAGGAUGUGUUUAGCCGGGGUGCGAGGGGGAUUACUUAAUUGCCGGACGCACGGCGCAGGAUCGAUCAUUCGGUGGGUUUUUUAAAGACAGAAGACGAAAGAAGAAGGUCAAUGGCUGGAUGUUAGAGAAAAGGACAACAAAGUGCUGUAUCUGAAGAAUGUAGAUCGAGAUAGGAGAAACAGGCUGGCAGCAGAGAGUCGUUCACUGUCACAAGUGACAAACAGUGGUCUGUCUGUAGCUCAAGAGAGGGUGUAGAUCUUUUCUUCACAGAUCAAUACAUCCUGCAGACGCCCCUGUCACAAGCCCGAGCCUGGUGUCUGCUUGUGUCUGAGUCUCCACCACGCGCCGUCCCCACAACUACCAUUCCUCUCCCGCGCAACUGCCCGCAGGCCUCACCAAAGGGAGAAGAACAUGCUCAAAACAACAAAGCUUAUACAGCAAGGACACCAGUGGGCUCCCAGCUGACGGAUCAGAGCUUUGAUCAUGAUUACAGAUUGCUGUGGCUCGGGGCAGGUGUCUUCCUGACUCAGCGACACCCUGCUGAGAGCCCAUCAAUAAGCAGUGGGAAGGAUGACUGUUUGAAUACUUUGCCUCAAUGACAACACACCUUUAAAUCCCUCUGAUACCUCUGUACAAGCUGUCUGCUUUGAAUUGUUGUUUUGUUCAGUUGCCUUCCAAGAAGGAGGAUGUUUGUGAAAUCCCAUGGGAGCUCCUGACUGGAUUUAAGAAAGGAAACUCUUUAUUUCUGUAAAGGAAAUCACAAACUCUUGCCCACACCCUACUUUAUGGGUCUAAUAUUUCAGCAGCAAAAACAACUUCACAGAGACUACGCUGAAAAUAUUUGCAAAGCAUCAGUGCCUUUCUCGUUUCAAGUUUUGAGUGGCACAUGUGGAGUGUAAAUGCAUCUUUGCAAACUGAAUGUAAACUGCCGGGGAGGGGGUAUUCUCCAUAUGCCAGUUGCCAGUAGCUGGCCGACAACUGCUCGGGAAAAAGUGUGCACACUCACACAUCUUUCACUGUGAAUGCCUCUGGAGGAUAGAGAACAAAGCUUGACCAGUAACCAUACAUUUGCCGUUUUGCUUUAGUCUGCACUUUCCUUUGGACUGAGAGCAUGAAGAAGAGGCAGAGAGCGUGAGAUUCACCCCACAUACACAUGAAAACUCCAAACCCUCUGACAUGCAGUCCUCUAAAAUAAUAAGCUGCCCGAUUUCUGUACAAACCCUUGACAUUUCGUUUUGGACUGUUUCUCUCUGCUGUUUUUGUGAAACCACUAUUUUUUAAUCGUGAAUUCCCUGUGAAUACAGUCAUAUAAAUACUUAAUUCAGUUAUAUGACUGUUGGCAGCUUAAAAGGGAAACUCCACCCAGAAACACUUAAUAGCAGCUGUGGUAAAGCAAUUAAAAAAAAAUUGCUAUUUUCAGUUCAGCUCAGAUGGUGUCUUUUUCUUUUUUUUUUUUUUUUUUUUUUUAUUCCUGCAGGUAACUGGCUAACAGCAUAUUGAACUAUAUUCAGUGCUGUUGUGCUGAUAGCAGGAAAGUCUUAAGUAAUGUAAACAUCCAAGGUUAACAUCAGGUUUUUGUUGCAGGCAAAACAGUGUAAGAUGAAGAGCUCCUAUUUGGAAAUUUUGCACCAGCAUUCAACACAGGCAGACAGAAAUCCACUGUAGAACAGACAGACAAACUAGCUUCUCCAACGGAGCAGACUGCAGAACAGCCACUUGAUUUUCAUUAAGAGGUGCAGCUCUUGCUUUGCAGUCUGAUCCAAAAGUUGGUGUAAUCAUACCGGAAGCAUCCGCCAAGAUACAUAAUAAAAACCCUGCUCAUAACCUAGAGGACAUUUCCAACACAGAUCAGCAGCCAGUGAGUCCAUAUGCUUUCCCUCUGUCUCUCUUGCUUUUUUGACAGGCAAAAUAAUGGAUAACUCAUCUUCAACUGCAUAGCCUGAGGAAGUGGAAGCUAAAUGAUCGCCAAGCUCCAGACAUGGUGGAGGCUAGAGGGGAAGAUGCUGAGAUAAUAAUGGGCAUUUACUGACCAAAACCCAGCAGGGUAUUGCAGGGUCCCUGUACACUGCACAGCUGUCUCUGCUUUUAUUGAUGUUUUGUACAUGCAGCAUGGGUCAGUUUACCGGAUGGCUCUCAGACUAACCUCGAUGUAUGUUUGUCAUUCGGCAAAGCUACUGUAUGACGGAUGUCAAACUCGCCAUCCUCUGUAAUAACCACCUCUGCCACCUCACAGCAGAGAGCUGAUGCAGUUACGGAGGCGGAAAGAAACAAUAUUGGGCAGCAUUUCAUUUCUGGGCCAGUCAACUGUGGGAGAAAGACAUCAGUAUAACAUCGAAUCACAAAUCAGAUAUCAAGCAGGCAAUCACAACAGUACAACCUAUGCUUUGUCCACUCAGCAGUGUGACUGACAGGCUGCACUGAGUUAUCAGCAGGCCUGAGCGCCUGUGACUUUUCGGCUUCUAUUAUCUCCCUCUUUGCACAUGACGAGCCAUUCAGCAUCCAUGCUCUCUGUUUGAGAGAAAAACACACACACACACAAGCACACACAAACACACACACACUCCGGCCAGCCACUUACUCUGUGGUUAUCUUCAAAUGUCAGAUGGUGAAGCACAUCAUGGUCAGGCUGAAACAUGUCGAGCAGAACAGCUCUGGAGGACUUCAGUUUCUGAACCUGCAGCUCUCACAAGAGAUUCAGCGAUGCCGACUUCUAACCUGCUAUCACUUUGCCAGAACAGCUCGGCUCAGCCAGCCACUGAAAGCAUGUUGUUAUGACAAGCAAUCAGCUGAAUCUCGUUUUAUUUGUGCAAUUUCGCCCCCGAAAUAAUCACAUCAAAUGCGUGCCUGCCUUGUGAAUGAGCCAAAUUCAAUUUAAAAAAGCCAUUCUGACAAUUUCCUAAUGAAAGCCAUAUCUUCAGUUUUCUUGCAUUUACGUGCUCCCGCAGAGAGACAGGAGGCAGCAGACGGCAGGGAGAGGAGCUGCCCUGAGGGGAAUGCCAACAAAGGACCAGCAUUUGAGUAGCACUAUCAGGACAGUCACGAUAGCGACACAUUCACUAAAUGAUCAAGUCUUAGCUGGCGGUGCAGGAGAUAAGUAGAUGUGAAUGAUAUCACCAGCAGCAGAGCAAUACACUUCAGCUCCUAAGGGCUUGGCUCCACAUAUAAUCACUCUGUAAUUACAAAUCCUCCAUUCUGCUUCACCUUAACAGGUGACACCCUUGUCUUUAGUCAUCUCUGUUAAAAGCCUUCUGGUUUCCUUCCAAUUUGCCCAUGUGAUGGUGCCUGGAUAGAAGUAGAGUUGGACUAUAACAGCAGGGUGUGGACAAUGUAAUGAGGUUCAUGUAUUUCAUAGAAAAAUCUAUAUAUUUUUUCAGAUGUUGGACACUAGAACUGCUCAGAUACUGCCAGGAAAAAAAAAUAAUUUGAUCCCAUUUUCGCUUUUCAAUGGAUUUAGAUUACUUUGUCUAGCAACGAUUUAUGUAUAAUGAAAGCCACAACACAAAGCAGACAAAUGAUGGUGGUCAGUGUUUGCAUUAUCUUGGAGCUAUUCACCGAAGAUUGGUGUUUUCAUUACAUUGGCGAGUCUAUAAAGCCGGAGAAUAACUCAUAUUUAAUCAUUUCGAUUCAUCCACACCACCAGCCGCUGGAGACACAGACUCACGAGCCAGUUCAAGCAAUAGCUGGAAUAUGUGAUGAUUAAAAAGCCCUGGGUUUAGUCACAGUAUGAUUCUAGAUGACAUGCAGAGAAACUUUCUGUAAUAUUAUGGCGUGACUGUAACCAGAGCCAGGUCGACAUUCCCAUGGUGACCCAGGGCAAGCCCGUGGGCCAUGAGCUGGCUUGUCGGACCUGGGAGAACAACACUGGGGAGGGGGGCUCAGACUGGUCCAGACCCAGAAUUAGAGCAGAGAGCAAAGUCACUCUGCUGGAUCAAAGAGUACCUUUGUUCCUUUGCUCCCUGUGGAAAGGAACAGAACUCUCAGCUUUCGCUUUCCGUUUGAGUUUUCUGUGACAUCUUGUUGCUGUUCGAGCAAAAAGAACACACACACGAGUCAAGCAAGAAGUAAGUGAAAACGGGAAAGAGAAUAUGUGACUAAUGGUAAUAAAGAGCAUGAAAGCAGCAGAGGAAGAGGCGGCGUGGGCAUGGCAGGGCAGAUUGUCUUGCUAAUGUUCUCUGCACUUGUAACAGGGCUGCAUUUUGGACUGAGUAGCUGAAAAUAUAUCCAGCCACUCUGUCUUAUGGCCAGUCAACAAGGUGCCAUUUCACUGUUGAGGCUUGACUACAGUCUGCUCGUGGAAGGCAAAAAUAGACUUCAGCAGAAUGGACUAUUAGCUAUCAGCAGAAUGGUAGUGUGUUAUUUCUUGAAUCUAAACGUAACUUGUAGCUUAACUUGUUUAUCUUAAGCAAUAGACCACUGACUGCUACAAGACUCUGGGGGGAUUUCUCUAAAUGUUGACCCUCCCUCUUCUCUCUUUCUUUCUCUCUUUCUCUCUCUCUCUCUCCAUGCCUCUCCUCUGGGUCUGCACCCCCCACUGCUGUGGAAACCAGAUCCUAUAAUGGGAAGAGCCCACCCAACUGCUGCUGACCAGCUGGAAUGAGAGUCUGGGAAGCAAAGCAAAACUGGAAUCACACUGCAUCGCCUUCAACCCAAACACUAAAACCUCCCCACUCUCCACCAGUACAGCCGUGGGCCACAAAAUGGAGAUUAUUGUUCAGCUUGUGUCAGCCUUAUAAAAACUGAGGCAUGGCACUCUUUUUUUUUUUUUUUCGGAGACAUAAUUUCAUGCGGCACAAUUACAGGGUUGUCAUUUUAUGAUAAUGACAGGAGUGACAUUUUGCUUAUUACUACGCCAAGGUGCCUUUGAUGGUGUGUUUCUGCGAGGCUACAAAAAAAGCCCACAAUGCACAUUCCACUCCCUCAAAUGAAGUCUUAUUUGUAUUGAUCACUAAACACAACAACACUCAUUCUCUCAAGGGUCUUGCCGCCUCUAAUUUAUAUAAGCUGAAUUCAUGGCAGAGAGAUCCUUACCUCUGUUAGCAUUCACAAUCACAAGCUAAAUAUAGAUUCCAGCCCACUGCUGUAAAGACAACAAAAGAAAAGCUGUAGAAUGUACUCAGUUCAAACACUUUCUCUGGUGCAACACAUGCAAGCGUGCUCAUUAAAAGCCUCUCAAAUUAAACUUGUAGUGGUGCUGGGGAUGGGGAAGUUGUGGGGGGGUGAGGGGGGCAGGGGGCAACAGAAUAUAUUUACCCCAAAUUCCCAGCAUUCCUUAAGGCAGACAGUAAACGCAAGCCCUAGCCCAAGCACACGGGACAUUAAUACACUUAGCCACAUGCAGGCUAAAUUACAGGCAUGCUCCCAAAAAAACAAAAAACAUUAAAAAAAACAGAUACAAGAAGCAGAAAAUUUCCCCUUUUAACUACUGUCACCAUGUCAGUAACAGACUACAGGCCACUCAUGACAGACAAAUGCAUGUGUGCAGGCAACCCCUGUCCUCCUCUGAUGCUGACCUUCAGCUGCCUUUUUACGCCACCUUCACCUGUCUUGCAGCCACAUGUGUUUGAGUGACCCACUGAGGGACAAAGCUCCUCUCCCAGAGCCGUACGCUGACCCUGAUCUAAUUCUCCCGGAGACACAGGCGACUCUUUUCCACACAUUACUUACCAUGAGAGCUCUGUUUCCUCAUGCAGCCCUUAAUGCUAUUCCUGGCCCAUCAGGAAUAAGAUGAAGGAGAUACUUGGACACAUUGAGUCAAAUUAAAUGAGAUGUCCACGAGUCAAAGUGGUGAAAAGGACAAAAAUAACUUGCUCCAAAGUGGGUGCUCACAUUGCCUCUUAGGGACGUUUGCAAUAUAAUGUAUCUUUGGUUUGAGGGUACAGAAACUAAAGACAGGCAAUUAUUGUGGAUUCUUUACCAAAAAUAGACUUCUCUCUUGGCUAUUCUAUACUGCCAUUUUAUUUAGAGAUCUGUCUCCAUACAUCCAUCCAGCCCAUAUUCUAUUUCCUCGCUGGCCUGCUAUCUGACCUAUGAGAAGGCAGCACAAAAGGAGUAUUGACCCCACAUUCCCCCUCACUAAGAAGAACAGGGUAUAAUUAACUGUAGUGUUAAAGGCACGGUGCCUCUGAGACUGUAAAACAGGGUAUGAAUACUGAGCAAACU